CCGCCGCCUCCGUCGCCCACGCCAGAAGCCGCCUACGCCGCCGGCCACAGAGUAGGUGCUGAGUGAUCCGGUUCAGCAUGCAGUGAAUAAUGAAAUCCCGAACUAUAGAAGAUCCAAAGUGUUCUCCAACAUAUUUAGAAUCAAGGAAGACAGUGGGAGGUCAAGAGCUGACUCCCAAUUAGGCUGUGGAAAGCUAAUAAGGAGGCCUAGAUAAUUGGUGAUGCUUUGAGCCCCACCCUGCAUAAUUUUACUUGAUUAGGUCCGAUCAACUGUAUUCACUGAAUUUCUGCUGCACAACUUUAUUUCCUUGAGAAUGAGAUGUGCAGAAUAGAGAGCAUGAAUGGUAUACACGCGCAGCUAAAUAUAUCCAAGGUUGGAGCGUGCUUGGUUAGCCAAUAGGGGAUAAUCCUAGAUUUCCAGCCAUCUUAUCACCCGAGCGGAGCACGAGUAAACGGAAGAGCGAGAAGAUAGCGAGCAAACGGAAGAGCGAGAAGAUAGCCGGCGG
Molecule: RNA transcript, 505 nt
Organism: Oryza brachyantha (malo sina)
Lineage: Eukaryota; Viridiplantae; Streptophyta; Magnoliopsida; Poales; Poaceae
Exons: 7
Source: RefSeq, a predicted model, not a curated record